GCCAGGCAGGACUACUGACGCAGCCCCGGUCUGAACUAACUGCCAGCCAAGGCUCCUCAGCAGCCAGAGCUCCCAUCUGCCCAGGCAUCCGGGAGAGCACAGAGGAUGGAGGACAGUGCGCCAAUCCAGUUAGGAGGACAUUUCCGUGACCAAAUGAUGCCAUGAGGGCAUCCUGAAACCCUGGGGCAAUGGCCAGAACACCCCCAGGCAGGAGCUGGCCACAGUGGAAGCACCAGCCAGCCUGCUCAGUACACAGGUCAGUCAGUCAAGUCCUUGGCAGUUGACAACAUCCCCAUUCCAACCCUAAGUUAAGAAAAGUUUCUUGAGCAGCAUAAGAAUCACCGGGGACUCCUGCUAAACCUCUUGCCUGGACCCCAUCCCAGGGAGGAGCGUGGGAACCUCUCUCGUCUUUGUGCCUCUCUGAGGAAGACGACGAUUCCACCCCCAUUUCAGGACUCUGAAGGUCGGCAAGCACUCCUACAGGCUGGCCUUGAUUUCCAUACCUGACAGACCUUGCUUCUUCCCCACCCCGCAAGACCUAGUGUUUAUUUUAACUCUUGAUGGAACCUUUGAUCUGCAGCGCUGUGUAAUGACAGCUGGGAUUACAGAGUAAAAUAGCUUGAAGAUGAAAGAGUGUGAUUUUCCAUUUAAGGAGCAGUCUGCCUUUUCUGUUGACCAAGAGAUGGUUGAUACACAUCUGAAG
Long non-coding RNA from Manis javanica (Malayan pangolin), 703 nucleotides. RefSeq lists it as uncharacterized. Lineage: Eukaryota; Metazoa; Chordata; Mammalia; Pholidota; Manidae. The record is from RefSeq and is a predicted model, not a curated record.